UUGUUUAUUCUCCAGUCGCGUGUGAGUCAGCCAGAUCAUGAUUUGUGGUGGUUUUGCUUGUGAAAUCUUACAUAAUUAUAUUCCUAUUGUCAUGUUGGGUCGAGCAGUUAGACCAUGUAGUGUUUUCUCAUUGCACAAUGUUUGCAAAUCAAUAAGGAGAAAGCCUGAACAAUGCGAUGACGUUGGCCAGGAACCCGGCCCGAGUCACCCAGGAGGCGGCUCUGCAGUUUCUCAGGAGGACACAUUUGGACCUGACCUUCACCACUGGUCAUGUGAGAAAGCCUCUAUACCUGGUUCCUCAACGUCUCCGUUUAGAAGACUGCAUCAGCAAAACCAUCCUACCAUGGGAAUUAACUGAUGGAUGUGUCUGGACUUCCCAGGGGGUUCUCCAUGGACAGUAUUGUGCUGGUAAAUAUUUAACAACUGACUCUUCGUGGGGAGAAAAUCACUAAGUGUAGCAUCUGUUAACACCUCCACCCUGGCUGAUGCGCAGUUGGGAAGACAUGUGCACAGCUGGCACCGUGAGCUGGCAGGAGCUGCUCUAAAGACGAGGAGACGGAGACCUAGAGGAAGUCAUUUGUACAAGGCCAUAUGGCUUGCUCCUGAUAGAUCUGGAAUUUGGACUCAGGCAGCCUGGUUCUGGAGCUGAAUUCUGAACUACCUAUAUCAUCCCACCUCAGUCCAGUGAGAGAACGUGUCACCUGAGUGCUCAAGAUACAUCAAGAGCCCGACCAUGUCCUGGAGCCUCUUAAGAGCGAAGCUCAGGGUGCAGGACCUGAGAGGGUGUUAAUCAGCCGCUUCCAUUUUUUUCUUAAUAUGGGAAGACCAGAUUUUGCUUGGCUUCUGGAAACCGCUGCCAUCUUGCUUUUCCUCCUACUUCAGCUCUUGGUCUCCUGUGCAGCUGGCUUUUCCUUCUUCCUGACUUUUCAAGCCCAUCCUUGGACCUCUUAUCUUCUCCAUCAAAAUUCUCUCCCUGGAUGAUUUCACUGAGGCCGAUGGCUUAAAUCCCUUAGAAAUACUGAUAGCUCCAAAUCCCUAUCUUUAGCCUGGCCUCCUGCCCUAGAAUUCACUUGUCUAAGUGCCUAGUGGAUUUCUCCACUUAGAUGUCUCAUAAGCAUUUCAAACCUGCCCAAAACGAAACUUGAUUACCAUCCCCAAACCACUCUUCCCUAAGAAAAUGGUGUCCCCGUUCCACCAGUUGCUCAGGCAAAAACCCUAGCAAUCAGCCUCACUUGCUUUCAUUCUCUCUCAUCUCCCACAUCAAACCCAUUAGCAAAUUCUGUUGGUUCUUUUUUGAAAUGUACUCGGAGGCUACUUCUCACCACAUGCUCUGCUAUGGUUCUAGCCCAAGCCACUGUCAGUCUCUCCCAGAGACACAAGCUGUACCUUCCUAACUCGCACCCCUGUGUGCAUCCCUGUGUGCAUCCCUGCUCACCCAAAGCCAACCCUUUGCAUAUAACCAGAGUGAUUUUUUUGAAAUGUAAAUAAGAACCGGUCACCACCCUAUUCAAAUCCUCCAGGGGCUUCUCAUUUCUCUUAGAACAAAACCCAGACUCCUGACUACAGCCCCAAAGCCCUACAUGAUCCUGCCCCAUUUACAGCUCCAGGCUCAUUACCUACCUCGUGCUCCCAGCCCACGGAUCAUCGCCUACCACAUGCUCCCAGCCCCCGGAUCUCCAGCACAUCAGCCUCUUGGCUCUUCUUAGAACUCCCUGAAUUCACUCCUGUCUCAAGGACUUUCCUGUGCUUUUCCUUAGACAGGAGACACCCCUCCCAGUUCACAUGGCUCACUCGCUUCAUCCAGGUCUCUUCUCCAGUGUCCCCUCCUUGUGACCCCUGGAUCUAAAGGAGUUGAACCACCCCACUCCUACCCUUAUAUUCUCAUAGCUCCUCACGCUGCCUCACUUUUAGCAAGAUUUCAUUAAAAUUUUAUUGCUGUCUAAAAUUCUAUUAUAUAUUUAACCAUUUACUUGUUUAGUAUCUGUGUCUUCCAUUAGCAAGUAAGUUCUGGCCAGGCGUGGUGGCUCACACCUGUAAUCCCAGCACUUUGGGAGGCUGAGGCAGGCAGAUCACCUGAGGUCAGGAGUUUGAGACCAGCCUGGUCAACGUGGUGAAACCCUGUCUCUACUAAAAAUACAAAAAUUUGCCGGGUGUGGUGGCAUGCACCUGUAAUCUCAGCUACUCGGGAGGCUGAGGCAGGAGAAUCGCUUGAACCUGGGAGGUGGAGGCUGCAGUGAGCCAAAAGAAAGAAAGAAAGUAAGUUCCAUGAAGGCAGAAAU
This 2279-nucleotide long non-coding RNA is filed under the name Homo sapiens (human). RNAcentral describes it as "long non-coding RNA NONHSAT215968.1". Lineage: Eukaryota; Metazoa; Chordata; Mammalia; Primates; Hominidae. The record is from RNAcentral.